AGCGAACGCUGGCGGCAGGCCUAAUACAUGCAAGUCGAGCGCACCUUCGGGUGAGCGGCGGACGGGUGAGUAACGCGUGGGAACGUGCCCUUUGGUUCGGAACAACACAGGGAAACUUGUGCUAAUACCGAAUGUGCCCUUCGGGGGAAAGAUUUAUCGCCAUUGGAGCGGCCCGCGUUGGAUUAGCUAGUUGGUGGGGUAAAGGCCCACCAAGGCGACGAUCCAUAGCUGGUCUGAGAGGAUGAUCAGCCACACUGGGACUGAGACACGGCCCAGACUCCUACGGGAGGCAGCAGUAGGGAAUCUUGCGCAAUGGGCGAAAGCCUGACGCAGCCAUGCCGCGUGAAUGAUGAAGGUCUUAGGAUUGUAAAAUUCUUUCACCGGGGAAGAUAAUGACGGUACCCGGAGAAGAAGCCCCGGCUAACUUCGUGCCAGCAGCCGCGGUAAUACGAAGGGGGCUAGCGUUGCUCGGAAUUACUGGGCGUAAAGGGCGCGUAGGCGGACAGUUUAGUCAGAGGUGAAAGCCCAGGGCUCAACCUUGGAACUGCCUUUGAUACUGGCUGUCUUGAGUUCGGGAGAGGUGAGUGGAAUGCCGAGUGUAGAGGUGAAUUCGUAGAUAUUCGGCGGAACACCAGUGGCGAAGGCGACUCACUGGCCCGAUACUGACGCUGAGGCGCGAAAGCGUGGGGAGCAAACAGG
RNAcentral lists this ribosomal RNA (699 nucleotides) under uncultured Alphaproteobacteria bacterium. Its description in RNAcentral is "bacterial SSU rRNA". It matches the Rfam family "Bacterial small subunit ribosomal RNA", at positions 28 to 776 of the family's 1533-position model. The record is from RNAcentral. Lineage: Bacteria; Pseudomonadati; Pseudomonadota; Alphaproteobacteria.